This 254-nucleotide ribosomal RNA is filed under the name uncultured bacterium. RNAcentral's name for it is "partial 16S ribosomal RNA". It matches the Rfam family "Bacterial small subunit ribosomal RNA", at positions 524 to 776 of the family's 1533-position model. The record is from RNAcentral.
UACGUAGGUGGCAAGCGUUUGUCCGGAAUUAUUGGGCGUAAAGCGCGCGCAGGCGGCCUCUUAAGUCUGAUGCGAAAGCCCCCGGCUCAACCGGGGAGGGCCAUUGGAAACUGGGAGGCUUGAGUAUAGGAGAGAAGAGUGGAAUUCCACGUGUAGCGGUGAAAUGCGUAGAGAUGUGGAGGAACACCAGUGGCGAAGGCGACUCUUUGGCCUAUAACUGACGCUGAGGCGCGAAAGCGUGGGGAGCAAACAGG